GCCUAUGUUGCUUACUUGAUUUGGGGGGCUCGAAAUGAUAGAAUAUUUCAGCAGACUUCACCCAUACCUACACAGUCAAUGAGAAAGGCAUUCUAUUUUCUGCUCCCAAACUAUCAGUGGCAUUCUAUGAUGGCUUUAUUAAGGCACCGGGAUAGCACUUCAACUCACAACACCAACCUCAACAAUAUGUUAGCCUUAAGGCUAAAACCUUGAUACUACUAUA
Molecule: long non-coding RNA, 223 nt
Filed under: Elaeis guineensis (African oil palm)
Lineage: Eukaryota; Viridiplantae; Streptophyta; Magnoliopsida; Arecales; Arecaceae
Description: long non-coding RNA (EGUI_LNC018159)
Source: RNAcentral